This 73-nucleotide transfer RNA is filed under the name Perkinsus olseni. It matches the Rfam family "tRNA". From Rfam's summary of the family: Transfer RNA (tRNA) molecules are approximately 80 nucleotides in length. Their secondary structure includes four short double-helical elements and three loops (D, anti-codon, and T loops). The record is from Rfam by way of RNAcentral. Lineage: Eukaryota; Perkinsozoa; Perkinsida; Perkinsidae.
GGUCCUGUAGCUCGGUGGUUAGAGCGACGGUCUUAUGAGCCGUAGGUCGUGGGUUCGACCCCCGCCGGGACUA